UGCAACUUUAAUUGAUUUUUAUAUUUAUCUGUAUUUUUUGCCAUAGCUUAUUGAUGACAUAGUUUUAAUAACUGAAUAUAACAAAAUAAGUUAUAGAAAAAUAUCAUUAUCAUUUUAGUGUCCUUGUUUCUUUCCUUGUAUGGGCUGGAUGUUUCUUAUAAUGCCGUGUCUCUAACAUACACUUGAACAUUUUUUUUCCUGAAAUGUAGCUUUUUCAAAUCAUCUGAAACUCACUCUUUCCAAGUUUUUAUUUUUCUACCUCUACCUUUUUCUCCUGAAACUUUUAACUUUUUACAUGUUGAUAACCAGUCAUCUGCACUUUUUUACAUGUUGAUAACCAGUCAUCCUUACGCUCUACAUGCUCAAACCACCUCAAUCUUCCCUGAUGCACCCUAUCAGAUACACUCACCAUGCCUAAUCUUUUUCUUAAAUCAUCACUGCUUUUCUUGUCUUUUAGAGUCACACUGCACAUCCUUCUAAUCAUCAUCCUUUCUAUCCUUUCCAAAUGCUGAACAUCAUCAACCUUGAUUGCUUUUAGUUUCUUUUUCAUUCAAUUAAUUCUUAGUAGCCCCUCCCCCUCCCCUCUUUAAUGAUAGAGACCUAACUCUGACUUACUCUGAAGCAAAUCUUACUCUUGGCCUAGAUGCUUCUUCUGCUCUUCCAGCUGGUCCAAUUGUAUCUCCAAGAUAAAAAAAAUUUAAUAACACACUCUAUCUUUCCUCUACUUUUUAUUUCAACCACUUUUUUAACUUACUCUAUACUCACCAAAAAUACAUUUUCUACACUCAAAAUCAACAAUCUUAAAAGAGCCUUGUACCACCACAUCUCUUAUGAACCAAUUGCCUACAAACUGUCUAAAUAAUAAAAUUUUCUUUAACUCCAUACCUACACACUCCACAUGACACUCCACUUCCUAGUAUUUUUUGCUUGUUCAUUCUUGACUGUACAGUGCAUAACUUUUGUUUUAUUCAUGUUUAUCUUGAGCCCUUUAGCUUCAAUUCCAUCUUUCCAAAUUUCAAAUCUUAAUACUAAUUCCUCUUCUGUUUCUGUUUUCUGCUAUCAGACACAAAUUAUCUGCACAGAAUAACUCCCACGGUAAACCAACUCUGAACUCUUUAGAGAGAGCUUCUAAAACAAUAAUAAAAAGCAAAGAACUAAGUACUGAACCCUGAUGCACACCAACUUUUACUUUAAAACUAUCAUUCUGUCCAUCUCUUGUUUUGAUUGUUGUUGUGACAUUUUCAUACAUAGCCAUGAUGACUGCCACUAGCCAUUCUUGAAUACAUAAACACUAACAAUUAUAAAUUAAUACUUCUAUGCAAUGUUGUUAUUUAAAGGAACUAUUUCUGCGAUACAUCAUAAAUCAUGAUGAGAGAAGAAAAAUAUUAGUAGCUUGCCAUGUUCAUCCUACUUCUGGCUAUAUGGGUAAAACAAGGACAUUAGGCAGGGUAAAAGAGCGUUUCAUGUGGCACGGAAUGGUAAAAAAUGUCCAUGAGUUGCUUAUAUCAUGUGAUGUAUGCCAGAGAAUGAAUAGAAAGUUAAACUGUGGAAAACCAGAGACGCACCCAAUAAAGGUAAAAGCUCCAUGGUAUAUGGUUGGCAUAGAUUUUAUUGGCCCACUCAGUCCAAUUAGUGAAGAUGGUUGUAGAUACAUUUUAACUAAUAGCCACUAAAGACAAAAUGGCAGUUACAGCGGCAGGAUGUCUGUUCAAGGUUUUCAUGAGGUUGGGAAUGCCAAGAGUUUUGCUGUCAGAUAAUGGGACUGAAUUUUGCAAUGAACUUACUAAUACCCUUAAUGUAUUGCUUGGUAUAAAGAAAAGGCUCACAACUCCAUAUCACCCACAAUUCUACUUUUCGUUUAAAUUGCAUUGAACUACCUACUGUUGAAAUAUGGUUUCAAUUUG
Long non-coding RNA from Hydra vulgaris (swiftwater hydra), 1904 nucleotides. RefSeq lists it as uncharacterized. Lineage: Eukaryota; Metazoa; Cnidaria; Hydrozoa; Anthoathecata; Hydridae. The record is from RefSeq and is a predicted model, not a curated record.